Molecule: ribosomal RNA, 1354 nt
Filed under: uncultured bacterium
Lineage: Bacteria
Description: bacterial SSU rRNA
Rfam family: Bacterial small subunit ribosomal RNA
Source: RNAcentral
GAUGAACGCUAGCUACAGGCUUAACACAUGCAAGUCGAGGGGCAGCAGGAUCUAGCAAUAGAUUGCUGGCGACCGGCGCACGGGUGAGUAACACGCAUCCAACCUGCCGAUAACUCGGGGAUAGCCUUUCGAAAGAAAGAUUAAUACCCGAUGGCAUAAUUAGACCGCAUGGUUUGAUUAUUAAAGAAUUUCGGUUAUCGAUGGGGAUGCGUUCCAUUAGGCAGUUGGUGAGGUAACGGCUCACCAAACCUUCGAUGGAUAGGGGUUCUGAGAGGAAGGUCCCCCACAUUGGAACUGAGACACGGUCCAAACUCCUACGGGAGGCAGCAGUGAGGAAUAUUGGUCAAUGGGCGCAGGCCUGAACCAGCCAAGUAGCGUGAAGGAUGACUGCCCUAUGGGUUGUAAACUUCUUUUAUAUGGGAAUAAAGUUUUCCACGUGUGGAAUUUUGUAUGUACCAUAUGAAUAAGGAUCGGCUAACUCCGUGCCAGCAGCCGCGGUAAUACGGAGGAUUCCGAGCGUUAUCCGGAUUUAUUGGGUUUAAAGGGAGCGUAGGUGGACAGUUAAGUCAGUUGUGAAAGUUUGCGGCUCAACCGUAAAAUUGCAGUUGAUACUGGCUGUCUUGAGUACAGUAGAGGUGGGCGGAAUUCGUGGUGUAGCGGUGAAAUGCUUAGAUAUCACGAAGAACUCCGAUUGCGAAGGCAGCUCACUGGACUGCAACUGACACUGAUGCUCGAAAGUGUGGGUAUCAAACAGGAUUAGAUACCCUGGUAGUCCACACAGUAAACGAUGAAUACUCGCUGUUUGCGAUAUACAGUAAGCGGCCAAGCGAAAGCAUUAAGUAUUCCACCUGGGGAGUACGCCGGCAACGGUGAAACUCAAAGGAAUUGACGGGGGCCCGCACAAGCGGAGGAACAUGUGGUUUAAUUCGAUGAUACGCGAGGAACCUUACCCGGGCUUAAAUUGCAUUUGAAUAUAUUGGAAACAGUAUAGCCGUAAGGCAAAUGUGAAGGUGCUGCAUGGUUGUCGUCAGCUCGUGCCGUGAGGUGUCGGCUUAAGUGCCAUAACGAGCGCAACCCUUAUCUUUAGUUACUAACAGGUCAUGCUGAGGACUCUAGAGAGACUGCCGUCGUAAGAUGUGAGGAAGGUGGGGAUGACGUCAAAUCAGCACGGCCCUUACGUCCGGGGCUACACACGUGUUACAAUGGGGGGUACAGAAGGCAGCUACCUGGUGACAGGAUGCUAAUCCCAAAAGCCUCUCUCAGUUCGGAUCGAAGUCUGCAACCCGACUUCGUGAAGCUGGAUUCGCUAGUAAUCGCGCAUCAGCCAUGGCGCGGUGAAUACGUUCCCGGGCCU